This 483-nucleotide ribosomal RNA is filed under the name Lolium multiflorum (Italian ryegrass). RNAcentral's name for it is "partial ribosomal RNA". The stretch from base 200 to 355 matches the Rfam family "5.8S ribosomal RNA". The record is from RNAcentral. Lineage: Eukaryota; Viridiplantae; Streptophyta; Magnoliopsida; Poales; Poaceae.
CACGAGUUAUCUAGCCCGCUGGGCGGCGGCAUCGUCCGUCGCUUGGCAAAAGUCCUCGACAACCUCAUCUUUUCGGAGUUGGGGCUCGGGGUAAAAGAACCCACGGCGCCGAAAGGCGUCAAGGAACACUGUGCCUAACGAGGGGAUGUGGCUGGCUUGCUAGCCGCACCCCGAGUUGCAAUUCUAUAUAAUCCACACGAACUCUCGGCAACGGAUAUCUCGGCUCUCGCAUCGAUGAAGAACGUAGCGAAAUGCGAUACCUGGUGUGAAUUGCAGAAUCCCGCGAACCAUCGAGUCUUUGAACGCAAGUUGCGCCCGAGGCCUCUUGGCCGAGGGCACGCCUGCCUGGGCGUCACGCCAAACACGCUCCCACCCAACUAACUUGGGGUGGGACGCGGCAUGUGGCUCCUCGUCCCGCAAGGGGCGGUGGGCCCNAAGAUCCGGCUGCCGGCCUAUCGUGCCGGACACAGCGCGUGGUAGGCG